GGACCGGUGGCAGAGCCGGGUUAUUGCAGCGCCCAAAGGUCGAUAGCGCGCACGCGCGCUGGCCUUGCAGGCGCGUGGGGCCGCUGGCGUGCCACGCCCCACCAGGGGUUCAAAUCCCCUCCGGUCCG
RNAcentral lists this transfer RNA (128 nucleotides) under Krasilnikovia cinnamomea. RNAcentral's name for it is "tRNA-Ala". It matches the Rfam family "tRNA". From Rfam's summary of the family: Transfer RNA (tRNA) molecules are approximately 80 nucleotides in length. Their secondary structure includes four short double-helical elements and three loops (D, anti-codon, and T loops). Further hydrogen bonds mediate the characteristic L-shaped molecular structure. tRNAs have two regions of fundamental functional importance: the anti-codon, which is responsible for specific mRNA codon recognition, and the 3' end, to which the tRNAs corresponding amino acid is attached (by aminoacyl-tRNA synthetases). tRNAs cope with the degeneracy of the genetic code in two manners: having more than one tRNA (with a specific anti-codon) for a particular amino acid; and 'wobble' base-pairing, i.e. permitting non-standard base-pairing at the 3rd anti-codon position. Lineage: Bacteria; Bacillati; Actinomycetota; Actinomycetes; Micromonosporales; Micromonosporaceae. The record is from RNAcentral.